Molecule: ribosomal RNA, 471 nt
Filed under: Salmonella enterica subsp. enterica serovar Heidelberg
Lineage: Bacteria; Pseudomonadati; Pseudomonadota; Gammaproteobacteria; Enterobacterales; Enterobacteriaceae
Also listed under: 8 other names
Description: partial 16S ribosomal RNA
Rfam family: Bacterial small subunit ribosomal RNA
Source: RNAcentral
AAAUUGAAGAGUUUGAUCAUGGCUCAGAUUGAACGCUGGCGGCAGGCCUAACACAUGCAAGUCGAACGGUAACAGGAAGCAGCUUGCUGCUUCGCUGACGAGUGGCGGACGGGUGAGUAAUGUCUGGGAAACUGCCUGAUGGAGGGGGAUAACUACUGGAAACGGUGGCUAAUACCGCAUAAUGUCGCAAGACCAAAGAGGGGGACCUUCGGGCCUCUUGCCAUCAGAUGUGCCCAGAUGGGAUUAGCUUGUUGGUGAGGUAACGGCUCACCAAGGCGACGAUCCCUAGCUGGUCUGAGAGGAUGACCAGCCACACUGGAACUGAGACACGGUCCAGACUCCUACGGGAGGCAGCAGUGGGGAAUAUUGCACAAUGGGCGCAAGCCUGAUGCAGCCAUGCCGCGUGUAUGAAGAAGGCCUUCGGGUUGUAAAGUACUUUCAGCGGGGAGGAAGGUGUUGUGGUUAAUAACC